GACAGAGGGGGCAAGCGUUGCUCGGAAUUACUGGGCGUAAAGGGCGCGUAGGCGGGAUGGCAAGUCGGUCGUGAAAUCCCUCGGCUUAACCGAGGAACUGCGUCCGAUACUGAAAGGCUUGAAUCCGGGAGAGGGAUGUGGAAUUCCCGGUGUAGCGGUGAAAUGCGCAGAUAUCGGGAAGAACACCCGUGGCGAAGGCGGUUCUCUGGGACGGUACUGACGCUGAGACGCGAAAGCGUGGGGAGCGAACAGG
This 253-nucleotide ribosomal RNA is filed under the name uncultured bacterium. RNAcentral describes it as "partial 16S ribosomal RNA". It matches the Rfam family "Bacterial small subunit ribosomal RNA", at positions 524 to 776 of the family's 1533-position model. The record is from RNAcentral.